ACGUAGGUGGCUAGCGUUGUCCGGAAUUAUUGGGCGUAAAGGGAGCGCAGGCGGACAUUUAAGCGAACUUUAAAAGUGCGGGGCUUAACCCCGUGAUGGGGUUCGAACUGGAUGUCUUGAGUGCAGGAGAGGAAAGUGGAAUUCCCAGUGUAGCGGUGAAAUGCGUAGAUAUUGGGAAGAACACCAGUGGCGAAGGCGGCUUUCUGGACUGUAACUGACGCUGAGGCUCGAAAGCCAGGGUAGCGAACGGG
RNAcentral lists this ribosomal RNA (251 nucleotides) under uncultured bacterium. RNAcentral describes it as "partial 16S ribosomal RNA". It matches the Rfam family "Bacterial small subunit ribosomal RNA", at positions 525 to 776 of the family's 1533-position model. The record is from RNAcentral.